GGCGAUGAUGACAUCCUGGCACUGCUGCAACUCCUGAGUGCUCACUGGGGAAGCCAGCCUUGAAGAGCUGAGUGUGCU
Small nucleolar RNA from Artibeus jamaicensis (Jamaican fruit-eating bat), 78 nucleotides. NCBI's taxonomy places the organism in Eukaryota, Metazoa, Chordata, Mammalia, Chiroptera, Phyllostomidae. The record is from RefSeq and is a predicted model, not a curated record.